GUAGCUGGUCUGAGAGGAUGRCCAGCCACACUGGAACUGAGACACGGUCCAGACUCCUACGGGAGGCAGCAGUGGGGAAUAUUGGACAAUGGGGGCAACCCUGAUCCAGCAAUGCCGCGUGUGUGAAGAAGGCCUGAGGGUUGUAAAGCACUUUCAGUGGGGAGGAGGRUUGAUAGGUUAAGAGCUAAUUAAUUGGACGUUACCCACAGAAGAAGCACCGGCUAACUCCGUGCCAGCAGCCGCGGUAAUACGGAGGGUGCGAGCGUUAAUCGGAAUUACUGGGCGUAAAGGGUGCGUAGGUGGUUUAUUAAGUUAUCUGUGAAAUCCCUGGGCUUAACCUGGGCAGGUCAGAUAAUACUGGUGGACUCGAGUAUGG
Molecule: ribosomal RNA, 376 nt
Filed under: uncultured Legionella sp.
Lineage: Bacteria; Pseudomonadati; Pseudomonadota; Gammaproteobacteria; Legionellales; Legionellaceae
Description: bacterial SSU rRNA
Rfam family: Bacterial small subunit ribosomal RNA
Source: RNAcentral